GACAUGCGAUACUUGGUGUGAAUUGCAGAAUCUCGUGAACCAUCGAGUCUUUGAACGCAAGUUGUGCCCGAAGCCUUCUGGCCGAGGGCACGUCUGCCUGGGCGUCACGCAUCGUGUCUCCCCCCCACCCCACCUUUGUGUGGGAAAAGGGGGAGGAGGAUGGCCUUCCACUCCUCACCGAGCGUGGUUGGCCUAAAAACGGAGCCUCAGGUCACGGACUGCUGCGGCGUAUGGUGGUAUACAAGGCAUUGCCUAGGAAGCAUCGCGUCGCGCAGCACGUAGCCCGCGAGGACUCGUAGGACCCUAACUUUGUCUCCUCACGGCGGCAAAAUCGUUGCGACCCCAGGUCAGGCGGGGCUACCCGCUGAGUUUAA
This 374-nucleotide unclassified non-coding RNA is filed under the name uncultured fungus. RNAcentral describes it as "sequence contains ITS1". The stretch from base 1 to 107 matches the Rfam family "5.8S ribosomal RNA", at positions 50 to 154 of the family's 154-position model. Lineage: Eukaryota; Fungi. The record is from RNAcentral.